AACGAGCCUUCCUUUGCCGAGACGGUGGAAGCAGGAGGCCUCUUGUGUGUGAAUCCCAGGUUCCUGGUAUGUGUGCUUCUGGCCCUUCUCCUGACUUGGCCGAGUUACCCUGUGUUCACCUCCGCUGCCCUCUGUACGCGGAGGGCUCCCCCGAGACCGCCGCCCAGGAGGAUGGCACAGCUGUCCCCGCUGUGGGGCUCCUGCCAGGGCCGGGGCAGACCCCCUCCCACUCCGAGAGAGGGUUCUGUUUGGCCCACUCGCUGCGUGACAUAAACACAUUUUCUUUUUUCUUUUUAUUUUUUUCUUUACUCCCUCCCUGCUCCUGACUGGCUUCCACGGAAGGGAUGGCAUCUGUGAAGGGAAACCAGGAAGCUUUCCCAGCAAACCCAUCCGAGGCUUUCUCCUCAGAUAAAACUCUAAGAAAAAGCCUAAGAGGCCUGAUCCUCUAAUCCCCUUACUGCCAUCUUCAAAUCCAGAGUACUUUCCAGAAUCAUCUGAAACAGCAAAGAUGAGGCGCAGCCCCAGCCGACAUGUUACUUUAUCACUAAUGAGAAAGAACCGGGUCCCUGAUGCCUGAGGAUGAGAAUACUGAUUUCAAACACGUCCUCAGAGCCUGGCCCAGCCCACACACACCCCGGCCCAUCUGCCGUGUCCUCCGCGGGCCCCUGGCCCGCACUGCUUUGCAGAAGAGAACUGUCCUUCAGAGCUGCCUCAGCCCCCUGUGUCCCAAGAACAGGCAGUGUGGUUGUCCUGGCUCACCUGGUUCACCGGAAACCAGGCCUCGGUUAACUGUGAUCACGGCCUGCGGCGGCUGCUGUUGGUGUCAGCGUUUGUCCGGGGCUCGGAACAGUUUGUGGGCCGGGUGGGGAGAGAGGUGAGGAGGUAGGCGUGCGCGAGCAGGUCUCAGGAUCACAUUAGGAUGUGAGAUGAUAACUCUGGAAAGAUUUUCAGGAUGCAGUUUCCUGGAAAUCCAUGAAACUUGUGACAGCCAGACAGCAGGGGGCUUUAAGGUUUGGAGAUCUGACCAGGAGCAUCGGUCGUCUCUCCCCUUCUUGUCUUCCCUGUGUCACCACCCGGCACCGUCCCCUUUCCUCCCCAUCGGCCUCGUCCGCCCCAACUUGGAACCUGGGCCUGGUUUCUUUUAUCAGCUUCCGGCCUGUGACUCUCACAGGUUGAGCAUCUCAAACUCAAGAACACUGGGAAAAGUAGGUGGCGGAAGAAAGAGGCAGGCAGGACGGGCAGGGAGGCGGGGGCAGCCCGGGCAGCUCGCUGGAUAAAGUGCCCUCCGCCCUGGUGAGCUUGUCCAGCUCGCGACUGAGACCGUUCUUCUCCCGCCCUUGAAGGAGAAGGGGCGAGGGCCCAGCUCCAGACAGCUGCCUCUGCCGUCUGUCAUCGACCUGGCGGCUGGAGAGGCC
This 1415-nucleotide long non-coding RNA is filed under the name Sus scrofa (pig). RNAcentral's name for it is "lncRNA (ENSSSCG00070014177.1)". The record is from RNAcentral. Lineage: Eukaryota; Metazoa; Chordata; Mammalia; Artiodactyla; Suidae.